UUGAUAUUUUAUUAAUUUAUAAGCAACAGAAAAGGGACUCACAUGUUGGUGUUCCACUGCUGCUAAAGUCCAACACUAACUUUAAACAGGAGUCCAAGUUGUAACAUGUAGUCCUGUAAUGCUGUUGCAGUUCUUCAGAC
Long non-coding RNA from Thalassophryne amazonica, 140 nucleotides. RefSeq lists it as uncharacterized. The record is from RefSeq and is a predicted model, not a curated record. Lineage: Eukaryota; Metazoa; Chordata; Actinopteri; Batrachoidiformes; Batrachoididae. The transcript is spliced from 3 exons.